AUUGCACGCUGGCGGCAGGCCUAACACAUGCAAGUCGAACGAGUGGCGGAAUGGUGAGUCAUGUCUGGGAAACUGCCUGAUGGAGGGGGAUAACUACUGGCAACGGUAGAUAAUACCGCAUACCAUCAGAUGUGCCCUGAUGGGAUUAGCUCGUGGGUGGGGUAACGGCUCACCAAGGCGGCGAUCCCUAGCUGGUCUGUGAGGAUGACCAGCCACACUGGAACUGAGACACGGUCCAGACUCCUAUGGGAGGCAGCAGUGGGGAAUAUUGCACAAUGGGCGCAAGCCUGAUGCAGCCAUGCCGCGUGUAUGAAGAAGGCCUUCGGGUUGUAAAGUACUUUCAGCGGGGAGGCGUUACCCGCAGAAUAAGCACCGGCUAACUCCGUGCCAGCAGCCGCGGUAAUAC
This 406-nucleotide ribosomal RNA is filed under the name uncultured bacterium. Its description in RNAcentral is "partial 16S ribosomal RNA". It matches the Rfam family "Bacterial small subunit ribosomal RNA", at positions 30 to 526 of the family's 1533-position model. The record is from RNAcentral.